GAUGAACGCUGGCGGCGUGCUUAACACAUGCAAGUCGAACGAAGCACUUUAGUUUAUUUCCUUCGGGACUGAUUAUUUUGUGACUGUGUGGCGGACGGGUGAUUAACGCGAGGGUAACCUGCCUUGUACAGGGGGUUAACAGUUGGAAACGGCUGCUAAUACCGCAUAAGCGCACGGCAUCGCAUGAUGCAGUGUGAAAAAGUCCGGUGGUAUAAGAUGGAGCCGCGUUGGAUUAGCUAGUGGGUGAGGUAACGGCGCACCAAGGCGACGAGGCGUAGCCGAGCUGGGAGGGGGACAGGCCACAUUUGGGAUGAGACCCGGCCAAAACCGCUACGAGAGGCAGCAGUAGGGAAUAUAGCACAAUGGGCGAAAGCCUGAUGAAGCAGCGCCGCGUGAGAGAAGAAUCAUUUCGGUAUGUAAAGCUCUAUCAGAAGGGCAGAUAAUGACGGUACCUGACUAAGAAGCACCGGCUAACUACGUG
RNAcentral lists this ribosomal RNA (481 nucleotides) under uncultured bacterium. RNAcentral describes it as "partial 16S ribosomal RNA". It matches the Rfam family "Bacterial small subunit ribosomal RNA", at positions 28 to 507 of the family's 1533-position model. The record is from RNAcentral.